GCUUACGGCCACACCACCCUGAGCACGCCCGCUCUCGUCUGAUCUCGGAAGCCAAACAGGGUCGGGCCUGGUUAGUACUUGGAUGGGAGACCGCCUGGGAAUACCAGGUGCUGUAAGCAU
RNAcentral lists this ribosomal RNA (120 nucleotides) under Misgurnus anguillicaudatus (oriental weatherfish). The record is from RNAcentral. Lineage: Eukaryota; Metazoa; Chordata; Actinopteri; Cypriniformes; Cobitidae.